Molecule: long non-coding RNA, 180 nt
Organism: Limanda limanda (common dab)
Lineage: Eukaryota; Metazoa; Chordata; Actinopteri; Pleuronectiformes; Pleuronectidae
Exons: 3
Source: RefSeq, a predicted model, not a curated record
CUCAGGAGUCGGGUGGGAUGUUGAGUGGGAUGUUCAAGAAAAAGAAGACACAAUCUCAGGAGGAUUUGACUGCAGCAGGCGACAGCGACAAUGUGUCUGUAACUGGAAACACUAAGGAGUCUGGUGGGAAGUUCACUGGAAUGUUUAAAAAAGCCCCAAAGGCAAAGACACAAUCUCAGG